Macrobrachium nipponense is the source of this 528-nucleotide long non-coding RNA. RefSeq lists it as uncharacterized. The transcript is spliced from 3 exons. Lineage: Eukaryota; Metazoa; Arthropoda; Malacostraca; Decapoda; Palaemonidae. The record is from RefSeq and is a predicted model, not a curated record.
ACAAGUAGAAGCACCAUUUUUGGAUGGAAAAAACCCUUCAGGAAAGUAUACGUAUCAAAUGUAACAUGUAGUAGUGUAACAGAGGAUGAAAAGUAAGGUUUUUACAUACAGUAUGUACAUACGUAUAUAACGUUUUUUAUUAGGAAUUUCCAACCAAGUUUGAUUACAUGUUAUAAACCACUGUAUGUAUGGUUACUAUACAUACUGUAUGUAACUUACUAGCAUACAUGACUUAACUUAGAUAAUUUUUUUGUACAUUCCAGAAUCCCAGAACCCCCUGAAUGAUGUAGGCUAUGGGGCCACAUAAAACUUUGUCCAGGGUUACAUACAUAGCACGACAACUUUAAACUACAGUACUAAAAAAUCCCAGAACCCCCUGAAUGAUGUAGGCUAUGGGGCCACAUAAGACUUUGUCCAGGGUUACAUAGCACGACAACUUUAAACUAAAAAAUCCCAGAACCCCCUGAAUGAUGUAGGCUAUGGGGCCACAUAAAACUUUGUCCAGGGUUACAUACAUAGCACGACAAC